This 452-nucleotide ribosomal RNA is filed under the name uncultured bacterium. RNAcentral describes it as "bacterial SSU rRNA". It matches the Rfam family "Bacterial small subunit ribosomal RNA", at positions 8 to 462 of the family's 1533-position model. The record is from RNAcentral.
AGAGUUUGAUCCUGGCUCAGAUUGAACGCUGGCGGCAUGCCUUACACAUGCAAGUCGAACGGCAGCACGGGAGCAAUCCUGGUGGCGAGUGGCGAACGGGUGAGUAAUAUAUCGGAACGUGCCCAGUCGUGGGGGAUAACGUAGAGAAAUUUACGCUAAUACCGCAUACGAUCUAAGGAUGAAAGCGGGGGACCGUAAGGCCUCGCGCGAUUGGAGCGGCUGAUAUCAGAUUAGGUUGUUGGUGAGGUAAAAGCUCACCAAGCCGACGAUCUGUAGCUGGUUUGAGAGAACGACCAGCCACACUGGGACUGAGACACGGCCCAGACUCCUACGGGAGGCAGCAGUGGGGAAUUUUGGACAAUGGGCGAAAGCCUGAUCCAGCAAUGCCGCGUGCAGGAAGAAGGCCUUCGGGUUGUAAACUGCUUUUGUACGGAACGAAAAGGUCUGCCCUA